AAGUCGUAACAAGGUUUCCGUAGGUGAACCUGCGGAAGGAUCAUUAACACGUAUCCAACGUUAAACCCCCCGUGAACUUUUAUUGCGAACCACGCCUUUGUUAGAAAGUAGCAAUCCCUGGUAAAUCAUCGCCGAACAGUUUUGAUUCAGGGAUCUCUGCGAAGAGAGCGGUUGUAGCGCGAGGUAAGUGGCCUGGCAUUCCUCUGCUUGUUAGUGUCUGACAGUGUCACUAGCUCUGUACGAAUGGCGCAGUCACGAUCGCUAGAGUCACCGGGCAUAGACCCCCCUAUCACCUUUGCAUGAAAACGGGCCUGCGCUUAAUUGUGCGGCCACCAAACUCGAACAACUGUUAACAAUGGAUAUCUUGGUUCUC
This 373-nucleotide unclassified non-coding RNA is filed under the name fungal sp. Its description in RNAcentral is "partial internal transcribed spacer region". The stretch from base 1 to 46 matches the Rfam family "Eukaryotic small subunit ribosomal RNA", at positions 1786 to 1831 of the family's 1831-position model. The record is from RNAcentral. Lineage: Eukaryota; Fungi.